This 514-nucleotide ribosomal RNA is filed under the name uncultured bacterium. RNAcentral describes it as "partial 16S ribosomal RNA". It matches the Rfam family "Bacterial small subunit ribosomal RNA", at positions 28 to 523 of the family's 1533-position model. The record is from RNAcentral.
GACGAACGCUGGCGGCAUGCCUAAUACAUGCAAGUCGAGCGGACAGAAGGGAGCUUGCUCCCGGAAGUCAGCGGCGGACGGGUGAGUAACACGUGGGCAACCUGCCCCUUAGAUUAGGAUAACUUCGGGAAACCGAAGCUAAUACCGAAUAAUACAAGGAACCUCCUGGUUCUCUGUUGAAAGAUGGCCUUUGUGCUGUCACUAAGGGAUGGGCCCGCGGCGCAUUAGCUAGGUGGUAAGGUAACGGCUUACCAAGGGGACGAUGCGUAGCGGACCUGGGAGGGUGAUCGGCCACACUGGGACUGAGACACGGCCCAGACUCCUACGGGAGGCAGCAGUAGGGAAUCUUCCGCAAUGGACGAAAGUCUGACGGAGCAAUGCCGCGUGAGUGAGGAAGGCCUUCGGGUCGUAAAGCUCUGUUGUGAGGGAAGAACAAGUACCGGCGUAACUACCGGUACCGUGACGGUACCUCACCAGAAAGCCACGGCUAACUACGUGCCAGCCGCCGCAGUAA